Molecule: transfer RNA, 73 nt
Filed under: uncultured Gemmatimonadota bacterium
Lineage: Bacteria; Pseudomonadati; Gemmatimonadota
Description: uncultured Gemmatimonadetes bacterium tRNA-Ala-GGC
Rfam family: tRNA
About the family: Transfer RNA (tRNA) molecules are approximately 80 nucleotides in length. Their secondary structure includes four short double-helical elements and three loops (D, anti-codon, and T loops). Further hydrogen bonds mediate the characteristic L-shaped molecular structure. tRNAs have two regions of fundamental functional importance: the anti-codon, which is responsible for specific mRNA codon recognition, and the 3' end, to which the tRNAs corresponding amino acid is attached (by aminoacyl-tRNA synthetases). tRNAs cope with the degeneracy of the genetic code in two manners: having more than one tRNA (with a specific anti-codon) for a particular amino acid; and 'wobble' base-pairing, i.e. permitting non-standard base-pairing at the 3rd anti-codon position.
Source: RNAcentral
GGGGCCGUAGCUCAGUUGGGAGAGCGCUUGAAUGGCAUUCAAGAGGUCAGGGGUUCGAUUCCCCUCAGCUCCA